This 418-nucleotide ribosomal RNA is filed under the name uncultured bacterium. RNAcentral's name for it is "bacterial SSU rRNA". It matches the Rfam family "Bacterial small subunit ribosomal RNA", at positions 355 to 770 of the family's 1533-position model. The record is from RNAcentral.
UGAGGAAUAUUGGUUAAUGGGUGCAAGCCUGAACCAGCAAUCCCGCGUGAAGGACGACUGCCCUAUGGGUUGUAAACUUAUUUUGUAUAGGGAUAAACCUACCCUCGUGAGGGUAGCUGAAGGUACUAUACGAAUAAGCACCGGCUAACUCCGUGCCAGCAGCCGCGGUAAUACGGAGGGUGCAAGCGUUGUCCGGAUUUAUUGGGUUAAAAGGGUCCGUAGGCGGACUUAUAAGUCAGUGGUGAAAGCCUGUCGCUUAACGAUAGAACUGCCAUUGAUAAUGUAAGUCUUGAGUAUAGUUGCGGUAGCUGGAAUAAUUAGUGUAGCGGUGAAAUGCAUAGAUAUUACUUAGAACACCAAUUGCGAAGGCAGGUUACCAAGAUAUAACUGACGCUGAGGGACGAAAGCGUGGGGAGCG